GCAUCUGACAUGCAUGCGAAGUAGAGGGUUUGCAUAUCCAGACCUCCGUGAAGAUUUAAUCCAGAUAAAUUGAGAUUUGAUCUCUGAUUUCACUGCAAAUCAGAUAAAGAUUUGAUUCUUAAUCAAGUAGAAUAGUAGAAAAAUUUUUAGAUGCAAUUUGGACAUUCCGAAGGAAAACUGUUCCCUUCCCUUCAUCCACCUCUAGCUUCUUAAGUUGGGCUGCAAUGUUCCUCAUGUGC
Molecule: long non-coding RNA, 239 nt
Filed under: Elaeis guineensis (African oil palm)
Lineage: Eukaryota; Viridiplantae; Streptophyta; Magnoliopsida; Arecales; Arecaceae
Description: long non-coding RNA (EGUI_LNC026564)
Source: RNAcentral